Molecule: ribosomal RNA, 497 nt
Filed under: uncultured bacterium
Lineage: Bacteria
Description: partial 16S ribosomal RNA
Rfam family: Bacterial small subunit ribosomal RNA
Source: RNAcentral
GAUGAACGCUGGCGGCGUGCCUAAUACAUGCAAGUCGAGCGAACGGACGAGAAUCUUGCUUCUCUGAUGUUAGCGGCGGACGGGUGAGUAACACGUGGAUAACCCACCUAUAAGACUGGGAUAACUUCGGGAAACCGGAGCUAAUACCGGAUAAUAUUUUGAACCGCAUGGUUCAAAAGUGAAAGACGGUCUUGCUGUCACUUAUAGAUGGAUCCGCGCUGCAUUAGCUAGUUGGUAAGGUAACGGCUUACCAAGGCAACGAUGCAUAGCCGACCUGAGAGGGGGAUCGGCCAAAGUGGAACGGAGACACGGUCCAGACUCCUACGGGAGGCAGCAGUAGGGAAUCUUCCGCAAAGGGAGAAAGCCUGACGGAGCAACGCCGCGUGAGUGAUGAAGGUCUUCGGAUCGUAAAACUCUGUUAUUAGGGAAGAACAAAUGUGUAAGUAACUAUGCACGUCUUGACGGUACCUAAUCAGAAAGCCACGGCUAACUACGUG